Notothenia coriiceps (black rockcod) is the source of this 232-nucleotide long non-coding RNA. RefSeq lists it as uncharacterized. The transcript has 2 exons. NCBI's taxonomy places the organism in Eukaryota, Metazoa, Chordata, Actinopteri, Perciformes, Nototheniidae. The record is from RefSeq and is a predicted model, not a curated record.
AUGAUCUCUGCUUAAACCCAAACUAAUGAUUUAUUCUUCUCUCACCUGGUUUUCUGUUGAAUGGCAGCCUGCGUGACCUGCAUGAAGGCAUCUUCCCUCAGGAUGAGUAUCCAGAUGAGGUCUCCACAGAUGAGGAUGAUGACAUGUUCGGUACCAGGAAGAGAAUGAAGAGAGGACGAAGCCGUGUGGAGGAUGAGGACGAGGGAGUGCCAGCAGCCAAGAAAACCAAAGG